Gasterosteus aculeatus aculeatus (three-spined stickleback) is the source of this 5892-nucleotide long non-coding RNA. NCBI's taxonomy places the organism in Eukaryota, Metazoa, Chordata, Actinopteri, Perciformes, Gasterosteidae. The record is from Ensembl.
GCACGAAAGUCCAAAAAUGAACGACUUCUCAGUUUCAGAUCAGGGAGGCCCUUCUUCUCAAUCCAGCCUCUUCAGUUAUUUCCAUCGUUGCUCACGUAUGCAUCAACGUGUGCUGCAGUCCCAUUCAGACUCCAUUCAGGUUCUGAAUACUGCGAACUUCUAAUUGGUGCAUACUCACAGACAACAGUCAGAGUCUUCCCUCCCUUCCUCCUUUUGUGUGCCAGAACAAAAACUACAAUUUGGCACUCAAUCUGGGACUUGUGAGUGUCCCCCCCACCAUUCUGUUGCCUCACACCCUGUGCCACUCCAGAGUAGAAUAGAGUGCAUCCCCGAUCCAGAAGUACGGUUUCAGACUCCACUGCCCUGUGCGUAAAGCUAUGCCCCACCAAAACAAACUGAGCGCUCCACCUCCCGCAGGAGCUCCGUCUCCUUUCCCCCCAGAGAGGUGAUGUUCCAUGACCCCAGAGCCAGACUGUCAGUGCUACACAUAUUGUAGCGCAGGGAGCCAGCCAGGCUCCACGGGAAGCCCGGCCCGGUCAAGUCCUCCAUCGGGUCCUCAGGCUUCCUUUGUGUUGCGUAACCCGUUCCCUCUUCCCCUUUUUCAUAUAGUCUUUUUGAACUAUUCUUAGUUUGGCCCUUCGCCUGAGACCACUGCCGAGGACCCUACCAAUAGCACCAGGUUCCUGACAACACAGGUUCAUCAUUUGGACGGUUUAAUAUAAAAGUGUUCUUCCAAUGAACUUUUUGGUACCUUCGCGUAGCAUAGAAAGAGGACAGUAAACUUACAUUAAAGGUGCAUUAGUAAGAAGUGUCUUCUUGUCCAGUGUGAACAGGAGGAAUGGUUACAGCAAUGCAGGGUUCAAAUUACCACCUCACUAUUUUAUUUAUUUUAGAGUUUUAAGCACACUUGUAAUGUUGCGGACCUCCAAGCUUAAUUAGCUGUGAAUGACAUAACGAUUUAUAAUCCUGAAAAAAUGAGAAAAAUAUGUUUUAAAUUAGAAUAUACAUACAUUUAAUACAUAAAUGGAAAGUUAAUUUAAUAGAUAUUGAAACACGCUUUUGCUCAAAUUAUAUAGAUUCAUUUUUUUAAAUUCUACCAUGUUACUUGGUCUAAUAAUAAUGCUGGCUGCUGUUACAAAUGCUAGCUUAUUAUCCUUUUACGAUCCCAAAGCUCCUUUGCUGACUUGAUAUCUCUUCUACAAGUGACAGUAAUCCUUUAAUUGGCAUUUCUUAAGCCCCACAAAUGUUUUGCUCUGUACUCUGAGAAGCUGUUGAGCAAGCUUUGAAUCCAAGUACCAAGUAACUACCAGUAAUCCUCUUAAGUUUGGUCGUCUUUAAGGACUAAAGCGGGAGUAUGUAUGAGUGCCAGCGGCCCUUUAGGAAACCUCUCUGGUCCACCUGCAUGAUUUUGUCUAAUUUGGUUUCUUUAUUUGUAUUAUACUCCGCUAUGUGCCACCCCAAAGUCCUUUUUAUUGUGAUUUAUUUUGACGUACACAACGCUUUCAUCGUGAAGGUAAAAUUAGCCCAAGUCAGAUGUAUCAUUGUGAAUAUGUAUUUUGUUGCAUACUCUGUCAUACCAUUUGAAGGAAAAAAAACAAGCACAUGAGCAAUUAUGAACUAAUUCAAAUGACUUUUAAAGUUUUAAGUCUUAGUAUGAAGACAGAGAUUGUGAAGGAUUUUCUCACACUAAGCCUCUUUUCCUGUGCAGGCACAGUUAAGGAGUUAAUUUACAAAAGUUAUGUGUGAUACAAAGUAUAACAAUACUGUUGAAAGAAGGACUUGAAUGUUACAAAGCCAGCAUACCGUGAUGAAUGAGGAUUUUGAACUUUUUUGCUUGUGAGUCUGCGUCUAUGACUAGAAAAGUACAGCAUUGAUACCAUAAAGGUAAAACCUAUUUAAUGAUGAGCUUUAAUGAGUGAUUACAUAAUUAUAUAUGACUAAAUAUAUUUUACAUAAAUAUAAAAUGUGUGACGUAUACUUUGGCAGUGCUGAUGAAGUGUCUUCAUUUAACGGAGCAAACACACAAAUACAGAAAGCUCUUUAUUUUUGGUGAAAUACUGCUAAUUUAAAAGCUAUAGGUAGAGUUGUAAAUAUAAUAUAUAAAACUCCCCCAAAAAUGAAGAAACAUUCAAUAGGAAGAAAAAAGGGAAGAAACCUUAGGGAGAACGGCAAAGGAGGGAUUCCUCUCCAGCGAUGGACAGAAUGCUACGCAUCAUACAUAUAUAUAUAUAUAUAUAUAUAUAUAUAUAUAUAUACAAAUAUAUACAUAUACAUACAUAUAUAAAUAUAUACAUAUACAUACAUACAUAUAUAUAUAUAUAUAUAUAUAUACACACGCACACACACACACACACAGCAUGUGCACCUUAAAGUAGAAUGCAAUCGGAUACAGAAAUCACUGGUAACCAAGUUGAUUCUGGUCAUAGUGGAAGAGUAACUUAGUUUGAUGAUAAAGAGGGAGCUUUAUCAAGUAAAUGUGAUAUGAUGAUAUCACAUUUGAUAUGAUAUGAUAAUGUAAUGUGUGUAGUAAGAGAUGUUCAUCAUCUCGAGUGACGCAAACUAUAAUUAAAAUAAGUGUUGAGUGUAAAUACUUUUUCUCAAAGUAUUGCGUUCCUAUUUUGGUAAUUUCCCACUUUAUUUGCAUUGUUGCUUUGUCUUUCUUGUGUAAAAAAAAUAAAAACUAUUUCAAAUGUUAAAUUAAAUGUUUCUGUUGUUGUUUCUGGAUGCACAUUUUUGAAAUAUGUAUGUAAUUCCCAAGGAGGCUCAAAUAGUUUCCUUAUGUUACCUUCAUUAACAUGAACUAGUGCACUGCAUGUGUCACCGUGUGGGUUUAUUUCCUGUUUGAUUUUGUUGUUUUGUUUUGUUUGUUGUUGUUGGCGGAUAAAUUUCAGGAUAAGAUGACAUAAAUCAGGCUUUUCGGUUCUAAAAAGCAAAUUUGGCAAAAUCACGAAAGAAACACAUCUACAGUAUGCAGGCCAAAUCCCAAACUCAAGAGCAGGCAAGGUCAUAAACCACAGAAGCAAACACUGGAAGGAAAUACUGCAGAGCGAUGAGUUUCCGAGGCAACAAAGACAAUCUGAGGCAACGAGUUUAAUUUGUUAUUUAUUCUCUUACGCGAUCAUUCAUAAAUUCGCUGACUUAUUAGGGUCCACACUACGACUUGUCGUAGAGGAACCUAUUGUAUUUCAUAGAAUUCUUCUUAUUAUUAUUUUCUCUAAGGAAUUUUGCCAUUUUGGGGGCUUCAUCAUAUUUAAAAAGUUGUUAAACUUGGCAUGCAUAUCAGAACUGGUGAAAAUUUUGAUAAUUUUGGGGUCUCGCAUUUGGGUACAAAGAAAUAGCGCCCCCUAGAAAUUUGAAAAGUACCCCACUAGGCCAGUUUAUUCCCCGAUGCAUUUGGCAUACAUGUGCUCUUGGACAUGCUCUACAAAAAAGAAAAUCACGUCUUUGGCCAUUUCUUCGAAACGCUAUGUCUGAUUGUCACGAAAUUUUCUGUGGAUCAUUAUUGGGUCAAUUUCCCCCUGACUUACCUAGAUCGUGUUGAUAUCUCAUUAUUUUGAGAAGACAUGGGCCAAAUGAUUCGGGCUGCCCUCACCAAACUUGUAAUACAUGUGAACAUUAAACCCUAUUUUUUUUUUGAAUAUUUGAAGAAUAGGGGGCGCUGCAAUUAAUUGUUGAAAAUCUGCCUUUUUGGCCUAUUUUGGGCCUGUUUUCAGGAUUUCUUAGAGUUGUAAAAGACCAAACUCCUCCCAGGGAUUAAACCUGAUUAUUUUCAAAUUCAUGCAGUGUGAUCUCGAGGACCUAGGCUCUAAAAAUUGCAUUUUGCUGGAAGAAAUUCCAAACUAUGUGUGUAGGGAACAUUUUCAAAAAAACACCAUUCAGCAUGAAAAUUGAAGUUGUUUUAACUCGACCAUACUUGAUCUAAUCUGCUCCAUAUUUCUCAUAUAGCAUGAACUUCUCACCCUGUAGACAUCCAUGAGAUCAUUUUUAACCUUAGUCAUAGCGCCACCUGGUGACAAGGAAGGAAGAUGAAUGUCUUUUUCUUUUACACCCUGCUCCUCACAGGUUAUGCUCCACAAAGGUUAAUCUGAUCCCUCUGAAAAUUUCGUAACAGAGUGGUAAGACCUUGAUAAUGUCAGGGACCAACCAGGCUCCACCACCACACAAUCACAGAGAUCGCUGUCACCAGAGUUCUAAUCACCCGCACCUGCACGUCAUUAAUUCAUCAGCACUGUCAGCACAAAAGCACGAUCCUCACACAGUCACUUUGUCGGCUGACAUAACGUCAUGCAAUGGGAAAAGGGCCGGUCGCUUCGUGACACGGGGCUGGUUGAUUGCACAGCUGCACUGUCACUGAGGUUGGCAUGGCGGGUAGUUCGGGUGGAAGCGAGGUGGAUAUGCGGGAGGGCAGUGAGAGGUCGGACAAUGAGGAGGGAGAAAUGCAUGCAGGUAAUAAGGUAAAGUGGAAGGUGAAGAAUGAGAAGAAACGUAGUAGGAAAGCCGGGGAGUCAAUGUCGUCUGGGGAUGACCAGACGGGUGCGGAGAGAAUGAGAAGGGAUAAGAGGCGAGCGCAGGUGGAGGAAUGGAAAGUUAUGGUGUAUUCGAUGAGCCUACGAGGAAAGUGUUGAAUCCGAUAGCAUUAUCUAAAGCUAUUGAAGCAGAGGUGGGACAUGUUAGAGAUGCGAGGUGUGUUGGGCAUGGGAGAGUGUUGAUUUUUGCUGUUAAUUGGGCCCAGCAAGGCAAGUUAAUGGCGUUGACGUCGCUGAAUGGAGCGAAGGUGAAGUGUCAUGUACCGGGUGGAAGGGCUAAGAGCAGGGGGGUGAUUACGGGGGUACCGCUGGAUAUAACAAUGGAGGAAUUCAAGAAAGAAGUAAAGGGAGGACGGGUAGUGGAGGCAAAACGAAUGACAAAUAAAAACAAAGGGAACGGAGAGGAGAGCCCAACUGUGAUGGUGGAGUUUGAUGGGCAUAUACCCAGUAGAGUGUGUCUGGGGUAUGUGAGCUACUUUGUGAUGGAGUAUGUGCCGGCGCCGCUAAGGUGCUCCAAGUGUCAACGCAUGGGGCAUGUGGCCAGUGUGUGUAAGGGGCAGUGUCGGUGUGCUAAAUGUGGGGGCCCACAUGAGUAUGGGAAAUGUGAAGCACAGGCUAAAAUAAGGUGUUGUAACUGCGGCGGGGAACAUAGUGCGGCAUAUGGGGGGUGUAUUGUGCAGAGAAAGGAGGCAGAGGUACAGAGAUACAAGAUAGUAAAUAAGGUAACAUAUGCAGAGGCAGCAAGGAAAAGCCAAGGCAGCAGGAGGGAACAAGAAAUAAGGGCCCAGGAACAGCCAGGGGUGAUCACAGGAAGAGGGGAGGGGCAGGUGGUGGAGGGGGGAGAUAAGAAGUAUAGUCAUGGGGGAUGCUCAGUUACAGAAGAGACACUGGUGAUGAAACGGGUGGAUUUUUUGGCAUUUCUGUGUCAUAUUCUUAAUAUGAGUGAACAGGUUAGGAAAAAGUCGGCACGGAUUGAGAUGUUUGUAGGUUUGAGGCUGGUGUAUGUGGUGUAUGUAUGCAGAGCAGAGGGCAUGGCAAGAGGUGGUGUUAUGAGAAGGCUGAUUGGAUCAAGUUCAAGUACUUGUGUGAGAGGGAAGGACGGAAGUUGACAAUGGAGGGAUCAGUGAAUGAAUGUGCUCAGGAACUGACAAGUAUGCUAGUGGCAGCAGCAGAGGUGGCUAUUCCAGUCAGUAAGGGAGGUGGUAGGAGGAGGGUGGUACCGUGGUGGACUGAUGAAUGCUCCAAAAGAGUAUGUGAGAGGAAUAAGGCGUUUAGGGCACUGAGGAGAAGCAUGACAGAUACGAAGGUGUUGGAGUAUCAACGUAAAAGGGCAGAAAAAAGGAGAACAAUAAAGAGAGCUAAAAGG